UGCCCUUGAAGUAGGGGAUAACACUUGGAAACAGGUGCUAAUACCGUAUAACAACCAAAACCACCUGGUUUUGGUUUAAAAGAUGGCUUCGGCUAUCACUUUAGGAUGGACCCGCGGCGUAUUAGCUUGUUGGUAAGGUAACGGCCUACCAAGGCAAUGAUACGUAGCCGACCUGAGAGGGUAAUCGGCCACAUUGGGACUGAGACACGGCCCAAACUCCUACGGGAGGCAGCAGUAGGGAAUCUUCCACAAUGGACGAAAGUCUGAUGGAGCAACGCCGCGUGAGUGAUGAAGGGUUUCGGCUCGUAAAACUCUGUUGUUGGAGAAGAACAGGUGUGAGAGUAACUGUUCACAUCUUGACGGUAUCCAACCAGAAAGCCACGGCUAACUACGUGCCAGCAGCCGCGGUAAUACGUAGGUGGCAAGCGUUGUCCGGAUUUAUUGGGCGUAAAGCGAGCGCAGGCGGUUUCUUAGGUCUGAUGUGAAAGCCUUCGGCUUAACCGGAGAAGUGCAUCAGAAACCAGGAGACUUGAGUGCGGAAGAGGACAGUGGAACUCCAUGUGUAGCGGUGAAAUGCGUAGAUAUAUGGAAGAACACCAGUGGCGAAGGCGGCUGUCUGGUCUGUAACUGACGCUGAGGCUCGAAAGCAUGGGUAGCGAACAGGAUUAGAUACCCUGGUAGUCCCAUGCCGCAAACGAUGAAUGCUAAGUGUUGGAGGGUUUCCGCCCUUCAGUGUUGCAGCUAAC
RNAcentral lists this ribosomal RNA (746 nucleotides) under uncultured bacterium. RNAcentral's name for it is "bacterial SSU rRNA". It matches the Rfam family "Bacterial small subunit ribosomal RNA", at positions 126 to 856 of the family's 1533-position model. The record is from RNAcentral.